UAGAGACGGGGUUUCACUUUGUUAGCCAGGAUAGUCUUGAUCUCCUGACCUUGUGAUCCACCUACCUCGGCCUCCCAAAGUGCUGGAAUUACAGGCAUGAGCCACCAUGCCCAGCCCAGCCCUUCUCAUUCUUAAAAACCAUUAGCUCUGGGCUGAUUUCUCCCUCUUGCUCAUAGCUGCAGCCUCCCUUGAGGUUCCUAUUCGUGCCCCCCAGUUCUGAUUUCUCUGCCCUCAUCACCUUCCCCCACUCACCUCUGUGUUACACCCACCCUGGGUCCCCAGGACCUCCCUAGGUCCUUCAUCUCUGUGGUCUUUCUCUGACACUCCAACACUUCCAGUCAUUUACCCCAGGUUACCCUCUAAAACAAACCUUGCCCCGCUGGAACCUCUUGUUCAUUGGCCCCGUACAUUUUAACUUCCCCUGUCAACUCCCUCUUAGCUGUUUAUGCUCUAAAAUUUAAAAGUCAACCAACAAACUGUCCCCAUGCUACCUUUACUGCCCCUCAAUGUUUCUGAGGUGAGUCAUCCCACAGGGAUGGCUGGUUUUAUUUUUAAGUGAAGAUUUCAAGCAUCAGACAGGCUCUCGGCACUGCCUGGCUCUUUGAUUCCAUUUCCCUAGCGCAGCAGCCAGAGGACUGGCUGGAAACAGGUGGCUGCCCACACUGGCAGAUGAGAAGUCCACUUCUGAAGAAAGGAGACACUAAAAGUGCCAUGAGCUUUUCCACCCAAGAGUCCACGCGAGCUUGCCCACACUCCCUCCUGACACUGUCUCCAGAAUUAUUAGGUGAACAAUCCAGUGCUUAUUAAAUCCUGUCAUUAUGAUGGAAAAAGACAACCUCGAAGGAAGCAGCUGCGCCUUUGCUAUAAACGUUGGACUGUCACAGGCCGCUGUCCUUGCUAGAGUCUGCCUGACGUCACGUGCAUAAAGUCCUAAAGGUUACAGGGACUGCAAGGACACCAUUGUACAGUCUGAAUUCACCGUGAAAUCUAGAUGAAGGGUGUGUGUGCUGCAGAUGAGGAUCUGAUCCUCCCUGAGCUUGCAUGAGGAGCUGUGCCUUACCUUUAACAUACGGCCCCACGCAGGCAAUGUGACAGCAGCAGAGUUCGUGGGAAUGUGAGCCACUUCCUCCUGCAGUGCAUGUGUGCCUUCCAGAUCCGCUGGGGCCCAGUCUUGCAAAUGCAACAUACUUUAUAACGGAAGAUCACUGUGCCCAUCCGACGGAGUGGUUAUGUGGAUCAGAUAGCCCUUGGCUUGUGAUGCACAGCCCAAGUUCUGCAGUCACUCUGUUUCCACAAUCAGAUCUUCAACCUGCACCAAGGCCCAGUGGCAGCCUGGAGCUGCUUUUCUAGAGAAGACUAGUACACUAGUCAGAACGGGAAGACAGGGACUUCAUUCAAAUCUUGAGGUUUGCACUCCGACUCUCCCCUCAAGGCUUGCCAGCAUCUCCCUACAGUGUCUGUGUCUGCCCUUGGGAUGCCUGCAGCCGUGCUGUGCUAUUUCACAAGGCCCAAGUGGCAGGGCACCCGGCAUGGCAACCUGGACCUGGGAGCUGCACUUGCUUGCUCGGGUCCCCCUUAAACCUUGCAGCCUUGGGAGGUUACCUGCCAAUGGGUUAGAGCAGUGAAUCCAGUAUGUUAUAUGCUGCCUAUAAAAUUAAAAGUGGACCAUCAAGAA
This is a non-coding RNA of Chlorocebus sabaeus (green monkey), 1675 nucleotides long. Lineage: Eukaryota; Metazoa; Chordata; Mammalia; Primates; Cercopithecidae. The record is from RefSeq and is a predicted model, not a curated record.